This 431-nucleotide ribosomal RNA is filed under the name uncultured bacterium. RNAcentral's name for it is "partial 16S ribosomal RNA". It matches the Rfam family "Bacterial small subunit ribosomal RNA", at positions 355 to 779 of the family's 1533-position model. The record is from RNAcentral.
UGGGGAAUUUUGGACAAUGGGCGAAAGCCUGAUCCAGCAAUGCCGCGUGUGUGAAGAAGGCCUUCGGGUUGUAAAGCACUUUUGUCCGGAAAGAAAUCCUUGGCUCUAAUACAGUCGGGGGAUGACGGUACCGGAAGAAUAAGCACCGGCUAACUACGUGCCAGCAGCCGCGGUAAUACGUAGGGUGCAAGCGUUAAUCGGAAUUACUGGCGUAAGCGUGCGCAGGCGGUUUGCUAAGACCGAUGUGAAAUCCCCGGGCUCAACCUGGGAACUGCAUUGGUGACUGGCAGGCUAGAGUAUGGCAGAGGGGGGUAGAAUUCCACGUGUGAGCAGUGAAAUGCGUAGAGAUGUGGAGGAAUACCGAUGGCGAAGGCAGCCCCCUGGGCCAAUACUGACGCUCAUGCACGAAAGCGUGGGGAGCAAACAGGAUU